AGCGCAGGCGGUCUUUUAAGUCUGAUGUGAAAGCCCUCGGCUUAACCGGAGAAGUGCAUCGGAAACUGGGAGACUUGAGUGCAGGAGAGGACAGUGGAACUCCAUGUGUAGCGGUGAAAUGCGUAGAUAUAUGGAAGAACACCAGUGGCGAAGGCGGCUGUCUGGUCUGUAACUGACGCUGAGGCUCGAAAGCAUGGGUAGCGAACA
This 207-nucleotide ribosomal RNA is filed under the name uncultured bacterium. RNAcentral describes it as "partial 16S ribosomal RNA". It matches the Rfam family "Bacterial small subunit ribosomal RNA", at positions 568 to 774 of the family's 1533-position model. The record is from RNAcentral.